AGGAUAUCCACAUCCAUAUUUUUUCGGAUACGAAUUCGGAUAUGGAUAUAUAUCGGAUGUUAAAAUUUUGUUACUAUAUCUGCUAAAAUUAGAUUCGAAUAUGGUCAAAUCUUUUCUCAGAUUCGAAUAUGGUUCGGAUAUUUAUGUGUAUACUAUUCCGAUACUAAUAUACACUAAGGGUGCGUUUGGUUUGCGCUAUCUUUUAAAGAUUCCUAGUAAUGGGAAUAAAAAAAUAUGACGGUGUUUGGCUAAACGCACUAAGUAAUCUAGUUGGUAAUAUUGAAUUCACUUGGGAAUAAGAUUCACCCCAAAGUACUAAUCUCAUUCUCUUGAGGGAGGGUGGGUAUCCUCAUAUUAAUGGAUUGGGGUAAUCAUAAUAUGUCUAAUCUCUUUCUUUCUUCCUACCCGCCGGCUAAUUGAUAUUAUUUUUCUUUACACUCUAACUUUAUAUCUCUCUCUAAACUUAUUUUUCUCUCUAAAAUUCAACUUUUUUUUCUCUCUCUAAACUAAGUUUUCUCUCUCUCUCUCUUUCUAAAAUUUCAACUCUCUCACUCCCUCUAAUUUCGACUAUAUUUUUCUUUCUAUUUUUUUAAUUAUGCUCUCUCUCUCUAACUUAUACUCUCUCUCCCUUUUUUCUAAAAAGAUGUUGAAACUUUUGGUAACAUUAUCUAAAAUUAAUUAAAUAAAUAAAUAAAUUAAUUGUAUAAUUUUUGUAAUAUUAAAUAACAUGGCUAAUUAAUAUUACUGUGUGAACCAAACACAGGAAUUCCACAUUCUUAGUAAUAGGAUGAAUAGUAAUAAGAUUCUCGGAUAUCUUUUAUUCCUAGUAAUCUUUUAUAAUGCGAACCAAACGCACCCUAAUAUGCAUGCAAAAAUUAAACACAAAAUAUAAAAAAAAUUAUUUUACUUUUUAACCUUAUUACUUAUCUUUAUUUUUCACCAAUAAAAUAUACAAAUUUAAUAGAAAACUCACGAUGGAUAAACGAAAAAUAAAAAAAAUAAUUACUUCAUUUUUUCACAAUAUACGUUAACCCUGACUCUUAUCUAUUACUAAAAAUCCGGAUAUCCGAAUACGGAUCUGAUUUUAUUGGAUA
This 1094-nucleotide long non-coding RNA is filed under the name Ananas comosus (pineapple). RNAcentral's name for it is "long non-coding RNA (ACOM_LNC017709)". The record is from RNAcentral. Lineage: Eukaryota; Viridiplantae; Streptophyta; Magnoliopsida; Poales; Bromeliaceae.